AUACGUAGGGAGCAAGCGUUGUCCGGAAUUACUGGGCGUAAAGGGCGUGUAGGCGGCCGAUCAAGUCAGGUGUGAAAUUUCAGGGCUCAACCCUGAGCGUGCACUUGAAACUGGUUGGCUUGAGUGCAGAAGAGGAAAGUGGAAUUCCCAGUGUAGCGGUGAAAUGCGUAGAUAUUGGGAGGAACACCAGUGGCGAGGGCGACUUUCUGGUCUGUAACGGACGCUGAGGCGCGAAAGCUAGGGGAGCGAACAGGAUUAGAUACCCUGGUAGUCCUAGCCGUAAACGAUGGGUACUAGGUGUAGGGGGUUUAGACGCCCUCUGUGCCGCAGUUAACACAUUAAGUACCCCGCCUGGGGAGUACGGCCGCAAGGCUGAAACUCAAAGGAAUUGACGGGG
Molecule: ribosomal RNA, 397 nt
Filed under: uncultured bacterium
Lineage: Bacteria
Description: partial 16S ribosomal RNA
Rfam family: Bacterial small subunit ribosomal RNA
Source: RNAcentral